RNAcentral lists this long non-coding RNA (877 nucleotides) under Glycine max (soybean). RNAcentral describes it as "long non-coding RNA (GMAX_LNC001066)". Lineage: Eukaryota; Viridiplantae; Streptophyta; Magnoliopsida; Fabales; Fabaceae. The record is from RNAcentral.
GCACGCGAUCUCCGUUGCUUUCAAUGUUGGUGUUUGGCUCAAAUCUGAACUUGUGGGUGCUGUUUGGGAGGGUUAAGAUGGUGGUAAUGGAGUUGGUGUGGUAGGUCAAGGGUGGGGUUGGAGCGCCGGCGUUGGGGGCCUGGGUGGUGGCGUUGCUGAGUUUGAGUUCUGGAGGUGGUGUUGUUGCAGUGUUGGUGAGGGUUUGGGUGACUCGGGUAGGGAACGAGUUGACACAGUGAGUCCCAGCAGUGGUGAGAGGAGUUGUUGCGACCGAAACAUAAUUUAAGGCAAGUCGUUAAAUUUUACUUUAAGAAAUUUGAUUUUCACCAACGAUUUCUUUUUUGGGUAGGCAGUUUAAAGAAUUUGAUCUAAAUAAGUUACAAGGUAUUGAUGAAAAUAAGCGUUGGAGUUUCAUCUACUAUCUUUAUCUUUGUAUGGGCAGUGAAAGUGACGAGUGAAGCCAUCAAACGUGGGUAGCAGCAACGAGCAAGAGAAGUACUGAGACCCCGGAAAAUAACCAUUAUUAUCCUAUCUAAUACAAUGGUCCCCUCUCCAUUGCGAACAGGAAAUAGCACACUUUUCUGGAAGAAAAUGACCAAACGCAUACCAUCAAAUAAUAGGACCAGAAAUAACCAAGCAAUCCUUUGCCCUCAAAUUUCAAUCAGGUUUGAAUAAAGUGACAAUUAACAACAUAUUAUAUAUAGGUAACUACAUCUGCAAAUGGUAGCUAUAUGCCUAUAUGUGUUUACGGUGACCAUAAGACCAAAACCAAUAACGUUAUUUAUCACGGUAACCACUUUUUGCAAGUAUCUUCUUCCGGAGAAAUUAUUGUUUGAAGCACCAUAUACUGUUUAUUUAUUGUAUGAAGCAAGUCCAC